GUUGGUGAACCAGCGGAGGGAUCAUUAAAGAGUUGCAAAACUCCCAAACCAUUGUGAACAUACCUUCAACGUUGCUUCGGCGGGUUGGCCCCGGUCUCCGGGGUCCCCGGCCCUACUCGGGCGCCCGCCGGAGGCCAAAAAACCACUGUGUAUUAUGUUUUCUUCUGAGUUAAACAAGCAAAUAAAUCAAAACUUUCAACAACGGAUCUCUUGGUUCUG
RNAcentral lists this unclassified non-coding RNA (219 nucleotides) under rhizosphere metagenome. RNAcentral's name for it is "partial ribosomal RNA internal transcribed spacer region". The record is from RNAcentral.